This is a non-coding RNA of Potamilus streckersoni, 74 nucleotides long. NCBI's taxonomy places the organism in Eukaryota, Metazoa, Mollusca, Bivalvia, Unionida, Unionidae. The record is from the annotation of a GenBank genome assembly.
GGCCUAGUGGUUCGAGAGGUUAGAGCGUCCACCUCUGAACCGGGAGGUUGUGGGUUCGAUCCCCAUUCGAGUCA